RNAcentral lists this ribosomal RNA (465 nucleotides) under Vreelandella stevensii. Its description in RNAcentral is "partial 16S ribosomal RNA". It matches the Rfam family "Bacterial small subunit ribosomal RNA", at positions 338 to 795 of the family's 1533-position model. The record is from RNAcentral. Lineage: Bacteria; Pseudomonadati; Pseudomonadota; Gammaproteobacteria; Oceanospirillales; Halomonadaceae.
CCUACGGGGGGCUGCAGUGGGGAAUAUUGGACAAUGGGGGGAACCCUGAUCCAGCCAUGCCGCGUGUGUGAAGAAGGCCCUCGGGUUGUAAAGCACUUUCAGUGAGGAAGAACGCCUGGUGGUUAAUACCCAUCAGGAAAGACAUCACUCACAGAAGAAGCACCGGCUAACUCCGUGCCAGCAGCCGCGGUAAUACGGAGGGUGCGAGCGUUAAUCGGAAUUACUGGGCGUAAAGCGCGCGUAGGUGGCUUGAUAAGCCGGUUGUGAAAGCCCCGGGCUCAACCUGUGAACGGCAUCCGGAACUGUCAAGCUAGAGUGCAGGAGAGGAAGGUAGAAUUCCCGGUGUAGCGGUGAAAUGCGUAGAGAUCGGGAGGAAUACCAGUGGCGAAGGCGGCCUUCUGGACUGACACUGACACUGAGGUGCGAAAGCGUGGGUAGCAAACAGGAUUAGAUACCCUGGUAGUC